This is a small nuclear RNA of Apodemus sylvaticus (European woodmouse), 107 nucleotides long. The record is from RefSeq and is a predicted model, not a curated record. Lineage: Eukaryota; Metazoa; Chordata; Mammalia; Rodentia; Muridae.
GCGCUCACUCCCGCAGCACAUAUACUAAAAUUGGAACAAUACAGGGAAGAUUAGCAGGGCCCCUGUGCAAGGAUGACAUGCAAAUCUGUAAAGUGUUCCAUAUUUUU